AGAGUUUGAUCCUGGCUCAGGACGAACGCUGGCGGCGUGCUUAACACAUGCAAGUGGAGCGACGAACCAGGCUUCGGCCUGGGGCAGAGCCGCGAACGGGUGAGUAACACGUGGGUAACCUGCCCCGAUGACCGGGACAACCCGAGGAAACUCGGGCUAAUACCGGAUGUGCCCGCCUCACAUCAGUGAGGUGAGUAAAGGUAGCUUCGGCCUCCGCAUCGGGAUGGGCCCGCGGCCCAUUAGCUUGUUGGUGGGGUAACGGCCUACCAAGGCUGCGAUGGGUAGCUGGUCUGAGAGGACGAUCAGCCACACUGGGACUGAGACACGGCCCAGACUCCUACGGGAGGCAGCAGUGGGGAAUCUUGCGCAAUGCACGAAAGUGUGACGCAGCAACGCCGCGUGGGGGAAGAAGGCCUUCGGGUUGUAAACCCCUUUCAGGAGGGACGAAGUGUCGGCCGUUAAUAGCGGUUCGGCAUGACGGUACCUCCACAAGAAGCCCCGGCUAACUACGUGCCAGCAGCCGCGGUA
RNAcentral lists this ribosomal RNA (528 nucleotides) under uncultured Actinomycetes bacterium. RNAcentral describes it as "bacterial SSU rRNA". It matches the Rfam family "Bacterial small subunit ribosomal RNA", at positions 8 to 522 of the family's 1533-position model. The record is from RNAcentral. Lineage: Bacteria; Bacillati; Actinomycetota; Actinomycetes.